UGGGCGAGUCAAAAGUUCAGUGAAGUUAGGAGGAUGCGUAGGGCCAGUGAUAGGGCCGGUAUGAAUAGGAUUAUGUUUAUUACUCUUCUGUGGGUUCAAACCAGAUUCUAAGGAUUGGAAGUCGAUUGUAAUUAAUAUACUAGAAGAGUAAGAUCCUCAUCAGUACAUAGCGAUGUAGAGGAACAAUCAUACGGGCCAGGCUGGACACUGGGCGGGAGCAGCCUGGGCGGUGGAAGGCGGAGCAGGGGCAGCACGAGGGGAGCUGUGACGCCCUGCCNNNNNNNNNNGACGAGCGCACGGAGCUGCUGCACAGAGCCAGCGCCCUGCGCAGCGACAACGACCGCCAGGCCGGCCUCAUCCGCCACAUCCGAGAUAAAUUGCAAAAAGAACAAGAGCAGAAAGUAACACUGGAGGCAACAAUCAGCCAUUUGCAGAACUUGAUCCACAACCAGAACAACCAACAGAAGAGCCAGGAGGUGACGGUGCAAAGGACAGACCAGGUUUUCACCACACAGACCCCACCUCUCACUCCUGCCAAGGAAAAACAAAACGCUCUGUCAGAGCACCCCGAGGAGGAGGAGGGAACAGAAAGUCUGAAGGAUGAGAUGCAGAAAACGACAUCCCAGCUCACAGCAAAGGAGAACGAGGUACCCGAGGAUGCUCAGCAGAGCCGUGCCCAGCUGCGGGUGAAGCGCUGCAGCCACUGCAGCAGCCCGGCUGCUCUGGGGACACACAGAGCCCAGGGGACCCCUCCUGCUGAGAGCCCCUCGCUGUGCCCGCAGUGCGCGGAGCUGCGCUCGGAGCUGGAGGCGCUGAGCCAGGAGUACCAGUGGUGCCUGACCCGG
Molecule: long non-coding RNA, 845 nt
Filed under: Geospiza fortis (medium ground-finch)
Lineage: Eukaryota; Metazoa; Chordata; Aves; Passeriformes; Thraupidae
Description: lncRNA (ENSGFOG00000012765.1)
Source: RNAcentral